RNAcentral lists this ribosomal RNA (305 nucleotides) under uncultured bacterium. RNAcentral describes it as "bacterial SSU rRNA". It matches the Rfam family "Bacterial small subunit ribosomal RNA", at positions 337 to 640 of the family's 1533-position model. The record is from RNAcentral.
CCCUACGGGAGGCAGCAGUGAGGAAUAUUGGUCAAUGGUCGGGAGACUGAACCAGCCAAGCCGCGUGAGGGAUGAAGGUACAGAGUAUCGUAAACCUCUUUUGUCAGGGAACAAAGGCGGGGACGUGUCCCCGGAUGAGUGUACCUGAAGAAAAAGCAUCGGCUAACUCCGUGCCAGCAGCCGCGGUAAUACGGAGGAUGCGAGCGUUAUCCGGAUUUAUUGGGUUUAAAGGGUGCGUAGGCGGGUUAUCAAGUCAGCGGUAAAAUCGUGGAGCUCAACUCCAUCCAGCCGUUGAAACUGAUGAU